This 75-nucleotide transfer RNA is filed under the name Longispora fulva. It matches the Rfam family "tRNA". From Rfam's summary of the family: Transfer RNA (tRNA) molecules are approximately 80 nucleotides in length. Their secondary structure includes four short double-helical elements and three loops (D, anti-codon, and T loops). Further hydrogen bonds mediate the characteristic L-shaped molecular structure. tRNAs have two regions of fundamental functional importance: the anti-codon, which is responsible for specific mRNA codon recognition, and the 3' end, to which the tRNAs corresponding amino acid is attached (by aminoacyl-tRNA synthetases). tRNAs cope with the degeneracy of the genetic code in two manners: having more than one tRNA (with a specific anti-codon) for a particular amino acid; and 'wobble' base-pairing, i.e. permitting non-standard base-pairing at the 3rd anti-codon position. RNAcentral also lists the same sequence under 1 other name. Lineage: Bacteria; Bacillati; Actinomycetota; Actinomycetes; Micromonosporales; Micromonosporaceae. The record is from Rfam by way of RNAcentral.
GCCUGGGUAGCCCAACUGGCAGGAGGCGCAGAGCUCAGAACUCUGACAGUGGAGGUUCGAAUCCUCUCCCAGGCA